UACAACAGCCCAGACAAGGAAGUUUCCACCUGAAAACCUCACACACAUGGAGGGAAACUCUCAUAGGAUCAUCCUUGGCCAUCUGAGGGUUGUUAUAUUUGGACUUCUAACACUCCAGACAGCAAAGGCCUGAGAGCUUCGCUGGGCAUUUGACAAGACAGAGGUUAUCAAGCAGUACAAGUCUCAAGAAGGCUUCAUCACAGAGCAUUUGGGGCCUUGUCAGCAUGGAUGGGUAUGGCAGUGGGGCUCCUCCUCACUGCCUGGCCCUGCCUGCCCAAAGCGCCACCAGCACAAUACUCCUGAAUCCAAAAAACACGUCUUUCCUGCAACGGUUUGGGUUGUAGCAGUGUUGGUCUAAGGACACAGGCAGACAAGGUUCCUUGGGUGAAUUUGAUAUCUUUUAUUAGACCAACCAAAAUGGUUGGAGAAUAGUUAUUAAUCAAGCUUUCGGGUUCAAAAACCCUUCGUCAGGUUAAGGAUGUACUUUGUGCUGAAGAUUUUUUGUUAGGUGUCUGUUUAUUUUUUCUACAUCGAUUCUUAUGUCUCAGCAUCGCCAGAGUUGGCUGAACAGAAAGAAGCCUGUUUCCCAAGCUACUGAUUAAUGCCUUCUCCAGUGGAGGUGCCGGGUUCCAGUUGCAGCUGGGGUAGUCUGCAUGGGACAUGAGGAAGCCUCAAGAGUCUCUGCAUGUCUCCUGAAGAUCCUCUGAGUUUACUUUCAUGGACUGCUACGUUGUCUAGGUCCAGCAGGCUCCUGGGAAGGGGCUGGGCUGGGGGGCUGAGAUAAGGAAUACUGGAUCCAGCUAGUGGCCCUCCUUGGCUGUGAACAGGUGAUUUACCGUCUCCCAGGACAUCUCCCAGAGCCUGCUGCACCUGCAGAUGAGCAACCCGAACCUCGAGGACACGACCCAUAUUACUGUGCCAGGUACAGUGAUUCAAACCCUAUUUAAGACAAUACAAAAACCCAGCUCAGAACUCCCUUUCAAAGCUGCUAGGUGGGGGCAGCCCCCUCACACAGCACAGCCCUGCACAGAGACAGGAGAAGAUGCACGGCACAUGGGAGAGCAAAUCACACUCACAAGGCUCCUUUCAAUUCCAUCAGCCCUGGCAAAAACUGUCCCCCGGGCCAGCUCUUCAAAUAUCGCUCCUGUCCCGAGGAAAUCCUGGGCAGAUCCUUUUUGGUCUCUUCAGCAGAGAAGAGAUUUCAAGAGGGAGCAGUGGAUUCAGCCACCUUCCCCACGUGGAAUAGCCCAGCUUGGUCCCAUUAAUGGGCCCAUCAUCAUGGAAAUAGAUUUCCUCACGUGUUUGAAUCCUUAUGUGCAAGCAAGGGCUGGUCUCUGUGAAAGCUGUCUCUAGUGGGUUAUGGAAUAGAGAAAAUCCCACACAA
Molecule: long non-coding RNA, 1384 nt
Organism: Alligator mississippiensis (American alligator)
Lineage: Eukaryota; Metazoa; Chordata; Crocodylia; Alligatoridae
Exons: 2
Source: RefSeq, a predicted model, not a curated record